Molecule: microRNA precursor, 92 nt
Filed under: Marmota monax (woodchuck)
Lineage: Eukaryota; Metazoa; Chordata; Mammalia; Rodentia; Sciuridae
Source: RNAcentral
GUGUAAAUCACCUGGAGAUCUUGACAAAAAUGUAGAUUCUCCUUUAGGGUGUGAGGUUCUGCAUUUCUGAUGUUCUCUCAGAUGAUGCCAAU